AGAAAAUGAAAAUGAAUAAUAGGGUAAUUUUUUUGACAGUGCCGCCGAUCUACUGGGCUUGAUAUCUCGGUGGGAGCUUCGAAGCUAGAAAGUAGCUUUGUCAACUUCAUAAGCCCCUAUAAUCACAAUCUUGAAUUAUUCAGAGAUGUUGGUGCUAACAAUCAGACAGGCGAGACACAAAACCAGAGCCCUCUUCAAUCAUCCUCCAUAUUCUCAAUCCGCCAUUAACAAGAAUACCCUUUUGUUCUAUCUAUUUUACUCCACUAAUACUCCUUUUGCCGCAUCCUCAAAGGCAAUCCCUUCAUACCCAUAUCCCUUUUUACCAGUUUCUUCAAAUGUUUUGUCAACUUCAAGAAUCGGUGAAUUGCAGCAGAAAGAUGUUGUUUUAUCCUUUAAAGAGUGGUUCAUGACCAGAAAAAAUCCACUCUUUGAUCAGAUCUUUGAGAUAUUACGAACUAAAGAUGAUAUUACAGCUGAUAUAUCAAUGUCGAGAUUCAAUCUUCGACUCUCUGAGGCCUUGAUUCUUGACGUGUUAAAUUAUGAGAAAAAUAAAGAUGUAUUGUCGUGUUUGAAAUUCUUUGAUUGGGCGGGUCGACAACCCGGUUUUCAUCAUACUCGUUCUACUUUUAAUGCCAUUUUCAGGAUUUUAGCUAAGGCCAAGUUGAUGUCUUUGAUGGCUGAGUUCUUGGAUAAGUAUAUGAAGCAAAGGUAUUUCCAUAAAGCUAGGUUUUACAAUACUUUGGUAAUUGGGUAUGCGGUGGCGGGCAAGCCUGAGCUUGCACUCCAACUGUUUGGUAGAAUGCGGUUUCAGGGUGUUGAUUUGGAUGCAUUUGCUUAUCAUGUGUUACUUAAUGCUUUGGUGGAGGAUGGUUUCUAUGAUGGGUUUGAUAUGGUUCUAAAGCAGAUUAAAUUUAGAGGUUUUGAGGAUGCAAUAACACAUGCUAUAUUCGUUAAGAGUCUUUGCCAGCAAACAGAGCUGGAUAGAGCUGAGGAGUAUCUUAGAGACUUGUUGAGGAAUGGAGGGGUAGGAUUGAGUGGGAUUGUCGUGGCUAAUCUUGUCGAUGCUUUAUGUAAAAAUAAGCAGUUCACAAGAGCUGCAAGUUUGGUGCAGGAAUUCAGAGAGUCUGGUUUGGUUUCAAUGGAACAGGCAUAUAGUGUGUGGAUUAAGGACCUUGCUCAGGCUGGGGAGCUAAGUGAGGCAGUUGAAUUCUUGAAAGGCAAGAAACUGAUUGAUGGGUAUGUUCCUGACGUUUUUCGCUAUAACAGCUUAGUGUGUCGGCUUUUAAGAGAAAAUAGGCUGGAGGAGGUUUAUGACUUGCUGAUGGACAUGAAGGAUCAAGAUAUAAUACCUGAUGAUGUCACCAUGAAUGUAACUUUGUGCUUCUUCUGCAAGGUAGGGAUGGCAGAUGUUGCCGUCGAGCUAUAUGACUCGAGGGCAGAAUUUGGCCUCUCUGUAAGCAGUAUGACCUAUAACUAUCUUAUAAAUACUUUAUUAGGUGAUGCAAGUGUUGAUGAAGCAUAUCUUGUGUUGAAGAAUGCCAUUCAACAAGGUCAUUUCCCUGGUAGGAGGACAUUUUCUAUUAUUGCUGAUGCUCUUUGCCGAGAGGGGAAGCUUGAUAGAGUGAAAGAGUUGGUUCUUGCUUCUCUGGAACGGAAUUGCGUGCCCAGUGACGCAACCUAUAACAAGUUCAUAUCAGCCUUAUGUAGGGCCAGCAGGGUGGAAGAUGGAUACUUGGUACAUGGAGCACUUAGCAGAUUCGAUAAGGUUACUAGCAGGACUACUUAUUUUGACUUGAUUAGUGGCUUUAACAAGUCAAGCAGGGGAGAUAUUGCAGCAAGAUUGUUAAUAGAAAUGCAAGAAAAAGGUCAUAGUCCAGACCGUCGAUUAUACAGGGCGGUUAUUUGCUGUUUAUGUCAAAUGGAGGAUCCAGAUAAGCUAUUUUACAGUUUAUUAGAGGUUCAAUUGUCUCGGCAUGAACCUAGCUGCCUUGUUUAUAAUUACUUCAUUGAUGGAGCUGGUCAUGCUGGAAAACCUGAGCUGGCCAGAGAUGUAUAUGAAAUGAUGAAGAGAAACGGUAUCACACCAAAUCUGCAGUCUGACAUUUUAAUCUUGCAAAGUUACUUAAAAGCUGGAAAAAUUGCUGAUGCCUUAAAUUACUUUCGUGAUUUGUCAAAUAGAAGAGGUCUAGGAAGAAAACUAUGGAACAACAUGGUUGUUGGGCUUUGUAAAGCUAACAAGCCUGGAAAUGCAUGGAACAUGUUCUGGGAGAUGAGGUCAACUCAUUUGAGGCCAAGUAUGGAAUGCUAUGAGGAACUUGUUAAGUUGCUUUGCUCACAUAGAGAUUAUUAUAAGGCUGUUCUUUUGGUUGAAGACUUGAUGCAAGUUGGUCGUCAGGUUUCAUCCUUCAUUGGCAAUGUACUUUUGUUACACUCAUUACAAACUCAUAGAGUCUUUAGUGCUUGGAUGCACUCAAGAGACUUGAGCAAUACAAAGGAUAACAGCUUAGCUCUAGGCGAUCUGAUCAAGACUUUCUCUGGUGGUAGUGAUCUGGAGAGUGAUAUUUUGCAAAUUGAAGAACUGAUUCGACAAUGUUUUCCCCUUGACAUCUACACUUACAAUUUGUUGUUGAGAAAACUAACCAUAAGCGAAAUGGAUCUUGCUUGUAGUUACUUUGAGAGAUUAUGCAAGAAAGGAUAUGAGCCAAAUAGAUGGACUUACGAUAUAUUAGUUCACGGUUUCUUAAAAGUUGGCCGGUCUUCUGAGGCUAGAAGAUGGAUGGAAGAAAUGUUCAGUAAAGGUUUUGAUCUGACUGAGGCUACGAAGACAUUUGUUUAAACUAUUGAUGAAUCUCAUUCAAGAUGUAAUGGGGUUCCUCAUUCAGGUUGGUCUGCUUGGCUGUGAUUGUUGAUGUGGCUGUCUGAAAGUAAGCUGGUGGCACAUGAAACCUAAAUAGAAAUAUUAGUGCAUUUGAAGAUGGAGUACUAUUGGUAUCGGUUGUCCUGAUUCCUACAGAGUUAUGGGGCCGGGCUGGAAAAGUUCUCUGGGUUUAAUGCAUCAGUCAGUCAAGUAACCAUUAUAAUGGGUGCCAUGUCCUGUGCUCUGAGUGAAUCUAAAAGGUAGAGAAGCAGUAGCAGGAACAUGGAGAAAAGCCUCAACGGUGUGAUGCAAAUUGAUUAACAAGCUUACUUGGUUCAGUAUUUUAAGCAGGCCCGAUGAUAACCAAGCUUCUGCUGGGUGGCUCCGAGAAAGGAGAGAGGACCGUGAGAACUGGAAAGACAACUGCUCUACUUCUAUCCAUUACACCUUUUCUUGAGGUAGUCACAACUUAUAGCAACGUGGAAGGUGCCUUGGUCCAUGUAAAUGUCAUCUAGCCAAAGGCACUAGUGCAGUGCUAUUAGAUUCAGCUAUAUUUAUGUCCAUAAUCAACUUCAUGGAUAGCAGCCAUAUGAAAUUAAGAGUGCUGCUCCUAGUAGUUUCUGACCGUGCUUCGAUCCUGGAACAGUCAUUUUGUUGCUCAGGCCUUUCAAUCUUUCUCUGCCGCUCGUAAUUAGCCUUGGGGAAUACUUGAGUAUCUAGCCUGCGGAAGCUUGAAACAUGUCUUCCAUGAUGGCGUUGUUUUGAUAAACUACUCUACGUGGAGGUCCUCCUUUAUAUUAAUAUAAGAUGAGCUUAUUUGAUGUCUCGUCUGACAAAUAGAAGACUUACUAUUUAUUGCAGCAGACUGGAUGUUUCUUUGUGCUUUUGGGUUUGAGAAUCUCACUUUUAUCAUGAAGAUCCAUCAGGCAUGACUUGCAACUGAGAGAGUUUACUUGUACAUCGUCCCAGCUUUUAUGCUUGAUACAUCCCACAAGGCUUUUUGUUUGUACUUUUGACAUAAAUAUUAGUUUAUUCCUUUUUUUUUUUUGGUUGAUUUUGUGGAAAGCCAGCAUUGGAAUCCCAACUAAAUUCGGAUUGUCCAUUGCAGGCUCAUUUGGUGGUGCCGCUCUCAACAUUCUGUUUUCCAUAAAAUUAGUUUACUCUUUGUUAGUACUAAGGUGGGAUGACUGAGCUGGCUGUGGUCUGGAAUUGCUUAGGCAACUCGCAUCAACUGCUCUACCUAUUUUGUAAUUUGAUUAAUUAUAAAUUAUAGGGAAAAGGGCUGAAUAAACCCCCCUAUAUUAUUUAAAAUGUGCCCCACUUUUAUCAUCUGUUAUAUGUUUGAGCCAAAAAUGUCUUUCAACUAGCAAAAUAGCUCAAAACUACACUUGGAAAUAUUUGGUUAAUUUUGCCUUGGACAGUUUGAAAUAGGA
This is an RNA transcript of Solanum pennellii, 4290 nucleotides long. It is a transcript of the gene named pentatricopeptide repeat-containing protein At1g71210, mitochondrial, with no coding region annotated. The transcript is spliced from 3 exons. The record is from RefSeq and is a predicted model, not a curated record. Lineage: Eukaryota; Viridiplantae; Streptophyta; Magnoliopsida; Solanales; Solanaceae.